CAGAAUAUGCCAGCUGUAGAUUUCAACGACAAGACUGACUGUGAAAUUCCAUGCAAUACCAACAAUGAUGUUGCUGAAUAUGUAGCAAUUGAGGAAAACCUUGAAGAACCAGCAGUUGAAGAAAAACAUGAAGAACCAACAGUUGAGGAGAAACCUGAAGAACUAGCAGUUGAAGAGAAACCCGAAAAACCAACAAUUGAGGAGAAACAUGAAGAACCAAUAGUUGAGAAGAAACCUGAAGAACCAGUAGUUGAGGAGAAACCAGAAGAACCACUAAUUGAAGAGGAGAAAUCUGAAAGGGUAACUUUCCUAGAAAAGGUGAGGAUCAAGCAUUGUCAAAAGGUUUAUCCAUCUUAUUAGUUGUGUAUGUGCGACGAUUCACAUCUGCUUACUUAUUGAAAGACUAAGUGAAACUUCAAAAUUCUUGCAGAGUAUGCUAGUUGUAGACUCGAACGACAAGACUGACAGUGAAAUUCCAUGCAAUACCAACAAAGAUGCUGCCCACUUUCCCGAAGUUGAGGCAAACCCUGAAGAACCAGCAGUUGAAGGAAAACCUAAAGAACCCGUUGAUGAAGAGAAACCAGAUGUACCAGUGGUUGAGAAACCUGAAAAACAAAUGGUUGAGGAGAAACUUGAAGAACCAAUGAUUGAGGAGAAAUCUGACGAACUAGUCGAGGAGAAAUCUCAACAACCAGCGGCUGAAAAGAAACCUGAAGAACCAGCAGCUAAAGAAUCACUUAAAGAGCUAGCAGGGGAGGAAACAACUGAAGAACUAGCACUUGAAGAGAAACUUAGAGAACCAACAGUUGAAGAACUAGUUCUUGAAGAUAAACCUGAAAACCCAGAAAAUGAAGAGGAUAAACUUGAAACAGUAACUCUCCAGGAAAAGGUAAGAAACAAGCAGUGUCACAGAGUUUAUCCAUCCUAUUAGCUCUACAUAUGCAAUGAAUUCACAUCUGUUUAUCCACUGAAAGACUAAGUGAAACUUUAAAUUUUUCUUGCAGAAUUUACCAAUUGCAGACUCAAACGACAAGACUGACAAUGCAACUCCCUGCAAUAACAACAAUGAUAUUGCUGACUCUGCAGCAGUUAAGGAAAAAACUGAAGAACCAGUAGUUGAGGAAAAACAUGAAGAACCGGCAACUGAAGAGAAAUCUGAAGAAUCAGAAUUUAUGAAAAAAACUGAAGAACCAGCGGUUGAGGUAAAACCUGAAGAACCAUCAGUGGAAGAGAAGCCUGAAGAACCAGCGGUUAGGAAAAAUCCUGAAGAACCAGCAGUUAAUGAGGAACCUGCAAAAUCAGCAACGGAAGAGAAACCUGAAGAACCAAUUGCUGAGGAGAAACUUGAAGAACCAACUCUUAAAGAGAAACCUGGAAAACCAGUAAUUGAAGAAACACCUGAAGAACCAACACUGGAAGUAACACCUAAAGAACAAGCAGAGAAACCUGAAGAACCAGUUGAAGAGGAAAAAACUGACAAGGUAACUCUUUUGGAAAAGGUGAGCAUCAAACACUGUCACAAAUUUUUGCCAUCAUAUUAGUUCUGUAUGUGCAACAAUUCACAUCUAAUUAUCCAUUGAAAGACUAAGUGAAACUUUAAUUCUUCUUGCAGAAUAUACCAGUUGUAGAUUUCAAUGAUACGACUGACAGUGAAAUUCCAUGCAAUACCAACGACGAUGUUGCUGAAGACGUAGCAGUUGAGGAAAACCUUGAAGAACCAUCAGUUGAGGAGAAACCUGAAGAAUUAGCGGUUGAAGAGAAACCUGAAAAACCAGCAAUUGAGGAGAAACGUGAAGAACCAAUAAUUGAGAAGAAACCUAAAGAACCAGCAGUUGAGGAGAAACCUGAAGAACAAACCGUUGAAGAGAGACUUGAAGAACCAACAAUUGAAGAUGAGAAACUUGAAGAACCAACAAAUGAAGAUGAGAAACUUGAAAGGGUAACUCUCCUAGGAAAGGUGAGGAUCUAGCACUGUCACAAAGUUUGUCCAUCCUAAUAGUUUUAUACGUGCAAGACUUUCAGAUCUGCUUAUUGAAAAACUAAAUGAAACUUUAAAUUCUUCUUACAGAAUAUGCAAGUUGUAGACUCCAUCGACAAGACUGACUGUGAAAUUCCAUGCAACACCAACAAUGAUGUUGCUUACCAUCCAGCAGUUGAGGAAAAUCUAGAAAAAACAGCAAUUGUGGAAACAACUGAUGAACCAGUGGUUGAAGAGAAACCUGAUGUACCAGCGAUUAAGGAGAAACCUGAAGUACCAAAUAUUGAGCAGAAACUUGAAGAGUUAGCAGGAGAGGAAACACAUGAAGAACUAGCAGUUGAAGAGAAACUAGAAGAACCAAUUACUGAAGAGACACCUGCAGAACUAGUUAUAGAAGAGAAACCUGAAAACCCAGCAGUUGAAGAGGAGAAACCUGAAACAGACGCUCUCCAAACGAAGGUCAGGAUUAAACAUUGUCACAAAAUUUAUCCAUCCUAUUAGCUUUAUAUGUGCAAGGAACUCACAUAUGCUAAUCUAUUGAAAGACUAAGUCAAACUUUAAAUUUUUCUUGCAGAAUAUGCCAAUUGUAGACUCAAAGGACAAGAUUGACAUUGAAAGUCCAGGCAAUAUCAACAAUGAUGGUGCUGACUAUCCAGAAGUUGAAGAUAAACCUGAAGAACUAGCAGUUGAAGAAAAACAUGAAGAACAAGCAAUUGAAGAGAAGCCUGAAGAACCAGCAAUUAAGGAAAAAGCUGAUGAACCAGCAGUGCAAGAAAAACUUGAAGAACCAGCUGUGGAAAAGAAACCUGAAGAACCAGUGGCUACGGAGAAACCUGAAGAACCAGCAAUUAAGGAAAAAGCUGAUGAACCAGCAGCGCAGGAGAAACCUGAAGAACCAGCUGUGGGAAAGAAACCUGAAGAACCAGUGGCUACGGAGAAACCUAAAGAACCAGCAAUUAAGGAAAAAGCUGAUGAACCAGCAGUGCAAGAGAAACCUGAAGAACCAGCUGUGGAAAAGAUACCUGAAGAACCAGCAGUCGAGGAGAAAUUUGACGAACCAGCAGUUGGAGAGAAAUCAGAAGAACCAGUAGUUGAACAAACACCUGCAGGACCAGCAUGGGAAGAAACACCUAAAGAACUAGCAUUUGAAGAGAAACCUGAAGAACCAGCAGUUGAAGAAACACCUGAAGAACCAGCAGUUGAAGAAACACCUGAAGAACUAGCAGUUGAAAAGAACCCUGAAAAAACAGCAGUCGGAGAGAAACAUGAAAAAGUAACUCUCUUGGAAAAGGUGAGGAUCAAGCACAAUCACAAAUUUUAUCCAUCCUAUUAGUUAUGUAUGUGCAACAAUUCACAUCCGCCUGGUGGAAGAUUAAGUUAAACUUUAAUUCUUCUUGCAGAAUAUACCAAUUAUAGAGUUAAACGAGAAGAAUGACAGCUCAACUCCUUGCAAUACCAACAAUGAUGUUGCUGACUAUCUAGCAGUUGAGGAAAAACCUGAAGAACCAGCCAUUGAGAAAAAACCUGAAGAACCAAUGGCUAAGGAGAAACUUGAAGAACCGAAUGUUGAGGAUAAACCUGAAAAAUCAGUGAUAGAGGAGAAAUCUGAAAAACUAGCAACUGAAGACAUACUUGAAGAGCGAGCAGGGGAGGAAACACCUGAAGCACUAGCAGUUGAAGAGAAACCUGACGAAUCAGCAGUUGAAGAGACAGUUGAAGAACUAGCUAUUGAACAGAAAUCUAAAAAAACAGCAACUGAAAAAGAGAAACCUGAAGCCGUAACUCUCCUGGAAAAGGUGAUCAACCACUGUCACAGGGAUUCCUUGCUCUAUAUGUGCAAGGAAUUUACAUCUACUUAUCUAUUGAAAGAUUUAGUGAAACUUUAAAUUCUUCUUGCAGAAUAUGCCAGUUGUAGAUACAAAGGACGAGAUUAACAGUGAAAUUCCAUGCAAUGCCAGCAAUGAUGUUUCUGACUAUCCAGCAGUUGAGGCAAAACCUGAAGAACUAUCCGUUGAAAAAAAAUAUGAAGAACCACCAGCAGUUAUAUUGGAGAAACCUGCAGAACUAGCAGUUGAGGAGACACCUGAAAAAACACUAGUUGAAGAGAAGCCUGAAAACCCAGCAGCACGGGAAGAAACACUUGAAGAACCAGCAUUGGAAGAAACACCUGAAGAACCAACAGUUGAAGAGAAACCUGAAGAAGUAGUAGUUGAAGAAAAACUUGAUAAACCAGCAACUGAAAAAGAGAAACCUGAAAAGGUAACUUUCUGCGAAAAGGUGAGGAUCAAGCACUACCACAAAGUUUGCCAAUCCUAAUAGUUUGUAUGUGCAAGGAAUUCACAUAUGCUUAUUUAUUGAAAGACUAAGUGAAACCUUAAAUUCUUCUUGUAGAAUAUGCCUGUUGUAGACUCAAAUGGUAAGACUGGCAGUAAAAUUACAUGCAACACCAAUAAAGAUGUUGCUGAUAAUCCAGCAGUUGAGGAUGAAGAACCAGAAGUUGAGGAGAAACCUGAAGAACCAACAGUUGAAGAAAAACCUGAGGAACCAGCAAUGGAAGGAAAACUUGAGAAACUGGCAGUUGAAGAUAAACUUGAGGAACGAGCAGUUGAACAGAACCCUGAGGAAACAGCAGUUGAACCUGAAGAACCAACAGUUGAAGAAAAACCUGAAGAACCAGCAAUGGAAGGAAAACUUGAGAAACUGGCAGUUGAAGAUAAACUUGAGGAACGAGCAGUUGAAAAGAACACUGAGGAAACACCAGUUGAAGAAAAACUUGAGGAACCAGUAGUUGACAAAAAAGCUGAAGAACUAGCGGUUGAAGAGAAACUUGAAGAACCAUUAGUUAAAGAAAAGCCGGAAGAACAAAGCAGGGAAGUAACUGAAGCUCCCAUAAAAGAGGCAAAGCUUAACCAGAAUGCAAAUGAAGCAAGCAGCAGUCUGCCAACAGCUAUUCUAAGCCAUCCGCCUGCUCAAGGG
RNAcentral lists this long non-coding RNA (4954 nucleotides) under Nicotiana tabacum (common tobacco). RNAcentral's name for it is "long non-coding RNA (NTAB_LNC000707)". Lineage: Eukaryota; Viridiplantae; Streptophyta; Magnoliopsida; Solanales; Solanaceae. The record is from RNAcentral.